This 707-nucleotide ribosomal RNA is filed under the name uncultured bacterium. RNAcentral's name for it is "partial 16S ribosomal RNA". The record is from RNAcentral.
CAACCCGCCUUCGCCGCAGGUGUUCCUCUCGAUAUCUACGCAUUUCACCGCUACACCGAGAAUUCCAGUUGCCCCUUCUGCACUCUAGCCCCGCAGUAUCGGCUGACCUUUCCGGGUUAAGCCCGGAGAUUUCACAGUCGACUUGCGGUGGCCGCCUACGCGCCCUUUACGCCCAGUAAAUCCGAACAACGCUUGCUCCCCCCGUAUUACCGCGGCUGCUGGCACGGAGUUAGCCGGAGCUUCUUAUACCGGUACCGUCAAACCCUUGCGGGCAUUCGUCCCGGUCGAAAAGGGUUUACACUCCGAGGAGCUUCAUCCCCCACGCGGCGUUGCUGCGUCAGGCUUUCGCCCAUUGCGCAAGAUUCCCCACUGCUGCCUCCCGUAGGAGUCUGGACCGUGUCUCAGUUCCAGUGUGGCCGGCCAACCUCUCAGUCCGGCUACCGAUCAUCGCCUUGGUGAGCCAUUACCUCGCCAACAAGCUAAUCGGCCGCGGAUCCCUCUACCGGCGCCUUGCGGCUUUGAAUGCAAGGGCAUGCGCCCUCGCAAUGUUAUGCGGUAUUAGCCCAACUUUCGCUGGGUUAUUCCCCACCAGAAGGAAGAUUAUCCACGUGUUACGCACCCGUUCGCCACGGCUGUAUUGCUACAGCCGUUCGACUUGCAUGUGUUAAGCACGCCGCCAGCGUUCGCUCUGAGCCAGGAUCAAACUC